Molecule: ribosomal RNA, 433 nt
Filed under: uncultured bacterium
Lineage: Bacteria
Description: partial 16S ribosomal RNA
Rfam family: Bacterial small subunit ribosomal RNA
Source: RNAcentral
AACGAACGCUGGCGGCAUGCCUAACACAUGCAAGUCGAACGAGACCAUCGGGUCUAGUGGCGCAUGGGUGCGUAGCGCGUGGGAACCUGCCCUUAGGUUCGGAAUAACUCCCCGAAAGGGGUGCUAAUACCGGAAAAUUUCCUCGGACCCAAGAUUCGUCGCGUUUGGAUGGGCCCGCGUUGUUUUAGCCUGUUGGUAGGGUAAAAGCCUAUCAAGGCGAGGAUCCAUAGCGGGUCAGAGAGGAUGGUCAGCCACUCUGGGACUGAGACACGGUCCGGACUCCUGCGGGAGGCAGCAGAGGCGGAUAUAGGAAUAUGGGCGGAAUGAUGAACCAGCUCUGCUGCGUAAGUGAUUAAGGCCGGAGGGAUGUAAAGCUCUUUUACCCGGGAUGAUAAUGACGGUACCGGGAGAAUAAGCACCGGCUAACUCCGUG